UGGGGAAUCUUGGACAAUGGGGGCAACCCUGAUCCAGCCAUGCCGCGUGAGUGAUGAAGGCCUUAGGGUCGUAAAGCUCUUUCGCCUGUGAAGAUAAUGACGGUAGCAGGUAAAGAAACCCCGGCUAACUCCGUGCCAGCAGCCGCGGUAAUACGGAGGGGGUUAGCGUUGUUCGGAAUUACUGGGCGUAAAGCGCACGUAGGCGGACCAGAAAGUUGGGGGUGAAAUCCCGGGGGCUCAACCCCGGAACUGCCUCCAAAACUAUUGGUCUAGAGUUCGAGAGAGGUGAGUGGAAUUCCAAGUGUAGAGGUGAAAUUCGUAGAUAUUUGGAGGAACACCAGUGGCGAAGGCGGCUCACUGGCUCGAUACUGACGCUGAGGUGCGAAAGUGUGGGGAGCAAACAGGAUUAGAUACCCUGGUAGUCCACACCGUAAAACGAUGAAUGCCAGUCGUCGGGUAGCAUGCUAUUCGGUGACGCAGCUAA
This 484-nucleotide ribosomal RNA is filed under the name uncultured bacterium. Its description in RNAcentral is "bacterial SSU rRNA". It matches the Rfam family "Bacterial small subunit ribosomal RNA", at positions 355 to 855 of the family's 1533-position model. The record is from RNAcentral.